Homo sapiens (human) is the source of this 520-nucleotide long non-coding RNA. Lineage: Eukaryota; Metazoa; Chordata; Mammalia; Primates; Hominidae. The record is from Ensembl.
CUUCCCCCAUGAUCUCCUUGCAGCCUGCCCACACUGGCCUUAGGGUGACUUUCUGGAGAGGCAAGCAUCUUCAUGUGAGACCUGCCAAAGGGUGUAUACCUUCUCAAAAGACCCUGCAGUUUCUUCUCCAAUGUGGACAACGCUGAGCAUAUGAUCUUUCGGUGUCUAUCUGCACUUUCUUUGACCUCUGGUCAUUGUUGGUGAAAGCUAAGGAGCAAGUAGGAGUUCUCAAGAUGAAAUGGAUGAAUCACCCGAAGGGAUACCAUUUGAGUUCUGGGAGAGCUGCCUGCCGACUUCACAAAGACGUAUUCCUCUCAUUAAUGACUGUUAGUGUAGCAUCAUGCAAUGCUCCUGAGAAACUGCAGAAAUAGUAAUGACCAUGUGAUGGCCAAGGCUGAUUGGAAGAUGCUCCUGGGGAGAGAUGAAGUUUGGAUUUACAGCAUCAGCAUGAAGGAGUUGCAAGCAUUGGUGUUGUAAACCGCACUGGCACCUGACACUAAAUGUGGGAAAGGGAUGGGGU